Molecule: ribosomal RNA, 520 nt
Filed under: uncultured bacterium
Lineage: Bacteria
Description: bacterial SSU rRNA
Rfam family: Bacterial small subunit ribosomal RNA
Source: RNAcentral
CCAGAGAACUUAGCAGAGAUGCUUGGUGCCUUCGGGAACUCUGAGACAGGUGCUGCAUGGCUGUCGUCAGCUCGUGUUGUGAAAUGUUGGGUUAAGUCCCGCAACGAGCGCAACCCUUAUCCUUUGUUGCCAGCGGUCCGGCCGGGAACUCAAAGGAGACUGCCAGUGAUAAACUGGAGGAAGGUGGGGAUGACGUCAAGUCAUCAUGGCCCUUACGAGUAGGGCUACACACGUGCUACAAUGGCGCAUACAAAGAGAAGCGACCUCGCGAGAGCAAGCGGACCUCAUAAAGUGCGUCGUAGUCCGGAUUGGAGUCUGCAACUCGACUCCAUGAAGUCGGAAUCGCUAGUAAUCGUAGAUCAGAAUGCUACGGUGAAUACGUUCCCGGGCCUUGUACACACCGCCCGUCACACCAUGGGAGUGGGUUGCAAAAGAAGUAGGUAGCUUAACCUUCGGGAGGGCGCUUACCACUUUGUGAUUCAUGACUGGGGUGAAGUCGUAACAAGGUAGGCGUACGUGU